UGCUUUCUCAUCAUACUAAAUGUUCCACUACAAAAUAUCAGUAUCACAUGCUCUUUGAACGAGAGCCGUAUGAAACAAGUGAAGAGAGACUGAGACAUGUGACAGCUGUGAUUGAUGAAAU
Molecule: long non-coding RNA, 121 nt
Organism: Haliotis rubra (blacklip abalone)
Lineage: Eukaryota; Metazoa; Mollusca; Gastropoda; Lepetellida; Haliotidae
Exons: 3
Source: RefSeq, a predicted model, not a curated record